RNAcentral lists this transfer RNA (80 nucleotides) under Methylobacterium dankookense. Its description in RNAcentral is "tRNA-Ser". The record is from RNAcentral. Lineage: Bacteria; Pseudomonadati; Pseudomonadota; Alphaproteobacteria; Hyphomicrobiales; Methylobacteriaceae.
GCCGGGCUGGGGAAGGAGGUUCUCCUCCGUCUCGAAGGCGAGGGUGGCGAUGCCCGCCCGCUCGAACAGGGCGGCCGGCG